Long non-coding RNA from Esox lucius (northern pike), 1115 nucleotides. The record is from Ensembl. Lineage: Eukaryota; Metazoa; Chordata; Actinopteri; Esociformes; Esocidae.
CAGAUAAAUAAGAUUUAAACCAGGCUAGAACAUGUCCACGUAGCCCAAUAUUGGUUUCCAGUCUCUCUAAGAGAAGGGAGUGAUCAAUAGUGUCAAAAGCAGCACUAAGAUCAAGAAGCAACAGGACGGACGCGGAACCUUUGUCUAAGGCCAUUAGAAGGUCAUUUGUUACCUUCACGAGUUCAGUCUCAGUACUAUGAUGGGAUCUAAAACCGGACUGGAGUUCAUAAAUGUUUUUUGUCUUUAGGAAGGCAUUCAGUUGUUGGGAAACACAUUUUUCUGAGAUUUUUGAGAGGAACGGGAGGUUCGAUAUUGGCCUAUAAUUGUUUAAUAUGUCGGGAUCUAGAUUAGAUUUUUUAGAAGAGGCUUCAUUUCCGCAAUUUUUUGUGAGUUUGGUACGCAUCCGGAGGAAAGGGAGCAAUUUAUUAUGUUCAGCAUUGGCUGACCUAGCACAGGAAAUAACUCCUAAAGUAAUUUUGUAGGAAUCGGGUCUAGCUGAGAGUUAGUGGGUUUAGAACUCAUUACAAAUUUUGUAAAUGUGUCGAGCGAUACGGUAUCAAAAAAUUCAAGUGUCCCCAUUGACACCUGGUCAGGGAGGUUCAGGAAAUGUUUUGGACAACUGAGAUUUUGAGGACCAUAACUAUUUAAGGAGGAGUCAGUUAUUUGUUUUCUAAUGGUGACAAUCUUUUCAUCAAAGUAGUUCAUGUAUUCAUUAGAACUAAGGUGAAGACCCACUUCACUUGCUAAGCUUUGCUUUUUUGUUAACUUUGCAACUGUAUCAAAGAGAAAUUUUGGAUUGUUUUUGUUAGCCUCAAUCAGGUUGGAGAAAUAAGCUGAUCGAGCAGACGUGAGUGAUUUUCGGUAUUGUACUGUACUGUCUAUCCAGGCUAGUCUAAAUACUUCCAACUUGGUGGAGCGCCACUUUCGCUCCAAUUUUCUGGAGGCUUGCUUAAGUGCUCUAGUAUUGUCGGUGUACCAAGGAGCAAGUUUCUUGUUGCGUAUUUCUUUAGUUUUUAGUGGUGCAACUAUGUCUAAUGUAUUUCGCAGUAUUGAGUUUAGAUCCUCGAUUUGAUCGUUUACAGAUUUAUUUACUCUGUCAUUUAAGAGCGAACUAG